This 1476-nucleotide long non-coding RNA is filed under the name Mus pahari (shrew mouse). RNAcentral describes it as "lncRNA (MGP_PahariEiJ_G0006427.1)". Lineage: Eukaryota; Metazoa; Chordata; Mammalia; Rodentia; Muridae. The record is from RNAcentral.
AUUUAAUCACUAAGUAUGGGAGUGGAUGCCUACAGCCCCCUGAGGAGGUCAGAGGACUACUUAAGAGCCAGCUUUUCCUUUCAACCUGUAGUUCCAAGGAGCUGAAUCAAGUUGCCAGGCAAGCAACCAGGGCCCUUUACCUGCUGGGCCAUCUUGCCAAGGCCUAUUUUUGAGAGGACGUCUCUCAGGUUGCCAGACUGGCUUUGAACUCACUAUGUAGCCUAUGUCAGUGGCCUUGAACUCUUAAUCAUCCUGCUUCCACCUCUCAAAGGCCUGGAAUAAUAUCUGUGAGCCACCACACUGGGCAUUUAACUUUUAACUUAAAAUACCGAAAGAAUUGGCUUAAGCGAACAGUCAAGGGGACUGUUAUGUAUUAUGUCUGUAUUAUGUCACCAAAAGUACAUACAGCCACUGAUUUAAAAAACAAAAACAAAAAGCACAUUAUCUAAACGAACUUAGAAAACACAGAACUCGAGUCCAAAGUGAAAAUUUCAUAAACCAACCCAGAAUGAGAAACUAGGGAGGCUAGUAACUUUGGGUAAAUUGUUGCUACUCAACUUAUUGUCAAAUGUACAAAAGAGAUACAAGUGUUGCUUGCUCUUUAUCUGAAGUUUACUUGAAUUCUAUUGUGAAACUAAAUAAUUUUAUAGGACAUUGAAUUCUCUCUUCAAAGUGUAACAAGUCCUGAGCUUCACUGCUAACAAUUUUUCCCAAGCUACAGGACACAACUUAGACAACUUAGAUCAUCACCACGCCCAACCUAAAAGCAACUUUGCAGACACAGAAAGCUCUCCCCCAGAGCCGCUGUUAUACUCGAAACCUACUAAUUAUGGUUAACACCACCAGAAAUAACCCAUUAGGCGCUUGCUUAGUAAGUGCCAUCAGCUUUAAGAAUAUCUGGUGCCAUAUGUCUUAGUAAAGUGCAACACAGACUCCAACAUUACAAUCUUGAACCUAACUGGGUUGCGUUCUGACACGACCUUUACUGUGGAAAGACUCAAGAACUAAAAGCAAAGGAGCUUGCGACCCCAACUACCUCCUUCCAUCAACGAAUCCCGCUUAAUCCUUCAUGCCUGCACUUUUCCGUUGUAAACAGGAAACUCCAGAGAAAAGGAAACGGAGAAAAUCCUAUUUGUGCUUUUAUAAGAGGAAUAACGGCAGCGCUCUCCAACCCCCACGAUGUGAUUGAACAAAUGAAAAAAGCAACGGGAGGAAGUGACGGGGGUGGGCUGCUGGUGAGCUCACUUGGAAGUUCCAAACAUGCCACCCAGCUCAGGGGUGCCCCCAAACAUCUGUACCAACAGCUGCAGCGGCCAUGGCUCCGCCUCCUCCGCCGCGCUCCCCUCACCGCCGCCGCCACGACCCCGCGCUGCGCUCCGGCUCCCGGCUCCCGGCUCCCGGCGCCCUGGCCCCGUGUGGCGUAGCUCGGACGACGCCGCCGCCGCCGCCUCUCCUCCCCGCCCCCACGCCGCUUUC